This is a long non-coding RNA of Phyllostomus discolor (pale spear-nosed bat), 1379 nucleotides long. RefSeq lists it as uncharacterized. Lineage: Eukaryota; Metazoa; Chordata; Mammalia; Chiroptera; Phyllostomidae. The transcript has 4 exons. The record is from RefSeq and is a predicted model, not a curated record.
GCUGCUCUGAGCCUCGGACCCCGGACCGAGGUCUGUAGCCAACCUGCCUUCGGGCAGAGGUGGCCCCAGGGCGCCACGCCGGGUCGGCCGGAGAAAUGAAAGUGGAAGCAAGCCUGGGUCGUGUUCGCUGGGGAAAAUUGUGACCCACACAACCAGGAAGCAGCAAUUCAGGUGUGGAUGGGGUUCACUUCUUGGACAUUCACACUGUAUGCCCGGAGUCUGGAUUCCAUAGGGCAUCCAGAGGAUAUAGUGCAGGCUGCUGGCUCUAAGACAAACUGUUGGGUGAGGAAGUUCCAGCCAACCAAUCCCAGCUCCAAUGGAGUGUGUCUCCCGGCCUAGUUCUGUAGCUGAGUUGUCAUCUGUCCCUUCACCUGCUGCCUGCCCGGCUCUCAUACAUUAGCCCCCUCUCCUCCUUACCAUGGGCAAGAACAAACACACACAGGAUGGGAGGAGAGCUUCGGCUACACCGGCAACACACAGUUCUUCAUGCAGCUGUGGGGCCAGGCACAGACAAUCCAGGGCAAUGGGUAACCCAGCAUUUGGCUCCAGGGGUCAUGAGCCUGCGGAAUUCUCAGCUCUCGCAAUCAAACAUGGAAGCCAUCUGGACUCCAUGUGUUUGGGAAGGCCUCUGCUUUCCUCUCUUGUCCCUCCAGGUCCUCUUUCAAGACAUGCUAGAAACAGCUAGUCUCCGCACAGAAAUCUCCCCUAGAAGCAGGCAAUAAUCAAAUCCUUGAUCUUCAGAUAUCUUCCAGUUGGGUUGCCUGGGACCAAAAUGCAGAGAAAACUUGCAACAAAGAGACAGAAGAAACAUUGCUGCCAAUGCCCUGUGCGACAUUGGGGAGGUCAACUUGCCAGAUGAGAACACAAAGGCUUAGAGAGGCUGAGCAACUUGUCCAGAGGCAGAGCUGGGAUUCUAAUUUAGGCCUCAUUCUUAACAUCUAUGAUACUGUCUCCUCAGUGUCCUCAUUUGUAAAAUGGGAGUAAUGUUAUCCUCAUAGUCUUGUUGGAGACCAUCAAAUGGAAGAAACUGAAAUGGUGGAAGCAGUCUGUUGGGAGUCAUACACCAAGUGAGGUCCAGCAAAACACCUCUCUGCUCCCUCCCUUUCCCUGCAAAAUCAGUGUCAAAAUAUCAGAUCUGUCAGCUACUUCCCACCAACCAGAGGCAAGGCUGAGAUGAGAGAAUAUAAAUGUGGGCUGAAGAAAUAAGAAUGCGAGGUGACGAUUCGUGCCAAGUCACGAAGGUAGGAACAAAAACAACAAAAGUGAUCUGGGGAUCAUGGUGACCCAGAAGUAGUGAUAUUUCAAAUUGAGGCAAGGAUUUUGGGGGCGGGACAGGAUGGCUGAAAUGGUAAAUGAAACACUUGAUGGGAUACCACAUA